This 254-nucleotide ribosomal RNA is filed under the name uncultured bacterium. RNAcentral's name for it is "partial 16S ribosomal RNA". It matches the Rfam family "Bacterial small subunit ribosomal RNA", at positions 524 to 776 of the family's 1533-position model. The record is from RNAcentral.
UACGUAGGGGGCAAGCGUUGUCCGGAUUUAUUGGGCGUAAAGAGCUCGUAGGCGGUUUGGUAAGUCGGGCGUGAAAUUUCGAGGCUCAACCUCGAAACGCCACUCGAUACUGCCAUGACUGGAGUCCGGUAGAGGAGUGCGGAAUUCCUGGUGUAGCGGUGAAAUGCGCAGAUAUCAGGAGGAACACCAACGGCGAAGGCAGCACUCUGGGCCGGUACUGACGCUGAGGAGCGAAAGCGUGGGGAGCAAACAGG